UAGUAUUAUACUAUUAUUAUUACGAGAUUCGUGGUAAAUUGGUGUAAUUAAAAUGAUAUAACAAAAACAAAAUAUACUAAUAGCAAAAAAGAAAAGUAAAGAAAAAGCCAAAUACUUUUGUUUGGAACGUGGCAUGAGAAUCCGUAUGAGACUUUUGGGGGCAAAAUCGGCGUUACACAUGUUUGGGUUGCUAUGCGAGUGUGUUGGACUUUUGUGUGCGUACGACGACAAAAACCGGUACGGUCCGGUACAAUUGCCAACGGUUGCCUCACUAACGGAGUUAAUAACGGGGAAUCUCGAAGUCUAACGGCGUUUACUUCGUCUAAGAGAUUCCUCUCGACGUGUUGCCCACAUUGCUACGAUUCGCGGUUCUAGGCCCAUGAAAAGGUCACAUCUUGGAUGAUCGGACGGCUGAGAAUUAAGUGGAAGUUUUAAAAUUUUCAUUAGACAAAGACAUAUAUAAUUGACGUAUUAAACUAUUUACUUGUGGAAUUAUUAGUUUUAAAAAAUAAGCAAAGAUUCUCAUAAUUAAUUACUUGCACCAACCGAACCAUUAAACCAU
Molecule: long non-coding RNA, 562 nt
Organism: Arabidopsis thaliana (thale cress)
Lineage: Eukaryota; Viridiplantae; Streptophyta; Magnoliopsida; Brassicales; Brassicaceae
Product: other RNA
Exons: 1
Source: RefSeq